Nephila pilipes (giant wood spider) is the source of this 72-nucleotide non-coding RNA. The record is from the annotation of a GenBank genome assembly. NCBI's taxonomy places the organism in Eukaryota, Metazoa, Arthropoda, Arachnida, Araneae, Nephilidae.
GGAAGGGUAACUUAGUGAUAGAGCGUUCGCUUUGCAUUUGAAAGGCCCUGGGUUCGAUCCCCAGCUCUUCCA